RNAcentral lists this ribosomal RNA (24 nucleotides) under Amanita muscaria (fly agaric). RNAcentral describes it as "partial 28S ribosomal RNA". The record is from RNAcentral. Lineage: Eukaryota; Fungi; Basidiomycota; Agaricomycetes; Agaricales; Amanitaceae. RNAcentral also lists the same sequence under 6 other names.
UGACCUCAAAUCAGGUAGGACUAC